This 105-nucleotide small nuclear RNA is filed under the name Amborella trichopoda. The record is from RNAcentral. Lineage: Eukaryota; Viridiplantae; Streptophyta; Magnoliopsida; Amborellales; Amborellaceae.
UGGGUUGUUUCUUCCAAAUCCGAUAAAUUAAAAUAAUAUAGAGAAGAUUAGCAUGGCCCCUGUGCAAGGAAGACACACACAACUUGAGAAAUGGUGUUUUACUUA